This 253-nucleotide ribosomal RNA is filed under the name uncultured bacterium. RNAcentral's name for it is "partial 16S ribosomal RNA". It matches the Rfam family "Bacterial small subunit ribosomal RNA", at positions 524 to 776 of the family's 1533-position model. The record is from RNAcentral.
UACGAAGGGGGCUAGCGUUGUUCGGAAUCACUGGGCGUAAAGCGCACGUAGGCGGAUUUUUAAGUCAGGGGUGAAAUCCCGGGGCUCAACCUCGGAACUGCCUUUGAUACUGGAGAGCUUGAGUCCGGGAGAGGUGAGUGGAACUCCGAGUGUAGAGGUGAAAUUCGUAGAUAUUCGGAAGAACACCAGUGGCGAAGGCGGCUCACUGGCCCGGUACUGACGCUGAUGUGCGAAAGCGUGGGGAGCAAACAGG